Molecule: long non-coding RNA, 351 nt
Organism: Melopsittacus undulatus (budgerigar)
Lineage: Eukaryota; Metazoa; Chordata; Aves; Psittaciformes; Psittaculidae
Exons: 3
Source: RefSeq, a predicted model, not a curated record
AGCAAAACCUACAAUUCUCCAUGGCUGUACUUCCUCCCUUUUUCUCUCCCUGGAGGCUGCCCACAGCUCUGACAAGAUGCCACAAGUUAUUGCCUCCUCCCAGCACCCUGGAUGGAACCAUAAGCUGUUGUACUGUCAAACGUGCUUUUUGCUCAUGAUGGGAUAAUUUCAGGAAGCCUACAGCUACAUUCCUUCCUGCUUGCACUGACUCUCCGCUCUGAACAGCAGGACAUCUAUCCACACUAAUAUAAGAAAAACAAGAACAAGUUUUCACUGCAAGAGUCUCCUCUCCUAAUUCAUUCAGACUUUCUGGAAGAAGGUAAAGAACAAUCCUGACCAGGACUGUUUUUC